AAAUUGAAGAGUUUGAUCAUGGCUCAGAUUGAACGCUGGCGGCAGGCCUAACACAUGCAAGUCGAACGGUAACAGGAAGCAGCUUGCUGUUUCGCUGACGAGUGGCGGACGGGUGAGUAAUGUCUGGGAAACUGCCUGAUGGAGGGGGAUAACUACUGGAAACGGUGGCUAAUACCGCAUAACGUCGCAAGACCAAAGAGGGGGACCUUCGGGCCUCUUGCCAUCAGAUGUGCCCAGAUGGGAUUAGCUAGUUGGUGAGGUAACGGCUCACCAAGGCGACGAUCCCUAGCUGGUCUGAGAGGAUGACCAGCCACACUGGAACUGAGACACGGUCCAGACUCCUACGGGAGGCAGCAGUGGGGAAUAUUGCACAAUGGGCGCAAGCCUGAUGCAGCCAUGCCGCGUGUAUGAAGAAGGCCUUCGGGUUGUAAAGUACUUUCAGCGGGGAGGAAGGUGUUGUGGUUAAUAACCGCAGCAAUUGACGUUACCCGCAGAA
This 496-nucleotide ribosomal RNA is filed under the name Salmonella enterica. RNAcentral's name for it is "bacterial SSU rRNA". It matches the Rfam family "Bacterial small subunit ribosomal RNA", at positions 1 to 486 of the family's 1533-position model. Lineage: Bacteria; Pseudomonadati; Pseudomonadota; Gammaproteobacteria; Enterobacterales; Enterobacteriaceae. The record is from RNAcentral.